CUUGGUCAUUUAGAGGAAGUAAAAGUCGUAACAAGGUCUCCGUAGGUGAACCUGCGGAGGGAUCAUUACACAAAUAUGAAAGCAGACCCUCAUUGGGGCGUAACGUCGCGCCGUGUCCGCAACGGCAUAUUGCUGUUGUGCUGACGCGGCGGGGAGGUACGCCCUUUUGGGCCAGUCUGACUCCAUAUUCACCCAUGUCUUUUGCGUACUACUUGUUUCCUUGGCGGGUUCGCCCGCCAAUUGGACCCAAUUAAACCUUUUUUGUAAUUGCAAUCAGCGUCAGCAAAACAAUGUAAUAAAUUACAACUUUCAACAACGGAUCUCUUGGUUCUGGCAUCGAUGAAGAACGCAGCGAAAUGCGAUAAGUAGUGUGAAUUGCAGAAUUCAGUGAAUCAUCGAAUCUUUGAACGCACAUUGCGCCCUUUGGUAUUCCAAAGGGCAUGCCUGUUCGAGCGUCAUUUGUACCCUCAAGCUUUGCUUGGUGUUGGGCGUUUUUGUCUCGGGUCCGCCCCGAGACUCGCCUUAAAAUCAUUGGCAGCCGGCCUACUGGUUUCGGAGCGCAGCACAUUUUUGCGCUCUGUCCAGUUGUGGUUUGCGUCCAUGAAGCGAAUAUUUUCAACGUUUGACCUCGGAUCAGGUAGGGAUACCCGCUGAACUUAAGCAUAUCAAUAAGCGGAGGA
Molecule: ribosomal RNA, 680 nt
Filed under: uncultured Ascomycota
Lineage: Eukaryota; Fungi; Ascomycota
Description: eukaryotic LSU rRNA
Rfam family: 5.8S ribosomal RNA (bases 305-458)
Source: RNAcentral